CGUCGGAUAGCUCAGGUGGAAGAGCAGCGGACUCAUAACCCGCAGGUCGGUGGUUCGAGCCCACCUUUGACGA
This 73-nucleotide transfer RNA is filed under the name Microbacterium sp. RNAcentral describes it as "tRNA-Met". It matches the Rfam family "tRNA". From Rfam's summary of the family: Transfer RNA (tRNA) molecules are approximately 80 nucleotides in length. Their secondary structure includes four short double-helical elements and three loops (D, anti-codon, and T loops). Lineage: Bacteria; Bacillati; Actinomycetota; Actinomycetes; Micrococcales; Microbacteriaceae. The record is from RNAcentral. RNAcentral also lists the same sequence under 1 other name.